RNAcentral lists this ribosomal RNA (1204 nucleotides) under metagenome. Its description in RNAcentral is "bacterial SSU rRNA". It matches the Rfam family "Bacterial small subunit ribosomal RNA", at positions 8 to 1203 of the family's 1533-position model. The record is from RNAcentral.
AGAGUUUGAUCCUGGCUCAGGAUGAACGCUAGCUACAGGCUUAACACAUGCAAGUCGAGGGGAAACGAUAUUGGAAGCUUGCUUCCGAUAGGCGUCGACCGGCGCACGGGUGAGUAACGCGUAUCCAACCUGCCCACCACUUGGGGAUAACCUUGCGAAAGUAAGACUAAUACCCAAUGAUAUCUCUAGAAGACAUCUGAAAGAGAUUAAAGAUUUAUCGGUGAUGGAUGGGGAUGCGUCUGAUUAGCUUGUUGGCGGGGUAACGGCCCACCAAGGCAACGAUCAGUAGGGGUUCUGAGAGGAGGGUCCCCCACAUUGGAACUGAGACACGGUCCAAACUCCUACGGGAGGCAGCAGUGAGGAAUAUUGGUCAAUGGACGAGAGUCUGAACCAGCCAAGUAGCGUGCAGGAAGACGGCCCUAUGGGUUGUAAACUGCUUUUAUAAGGGAAUAAAGUGAGAGUCGUGACUCUUUUUGCAUGUACCUUAUGAAUAAGGACCGGCUAAUUCCGUGCCAGCAGCCGCGGUAAUACGGAAGGUCCGGGCGUUAUCCGGAUUUAUUGGGUUUAAAGGGAGCGUAGGCCGGAGAUUAAGCGUGUUGUGAAAUGUAGACGCUCAACGUCUGCACUGCAGCGCGAACUGGUUUCCUUGAGUACGCACAAAGUGGGCGGAAUUCGUGGUGUAGCGGUGAAAUGCUUAGAUAUCACGAAGAACUCCGAUUGCGAAGGCAGCUCACUGGAGCGCAACUGACGCUGAAGCUCGAAAGUGCGGGUAUCGAACAGGAUUAGAUACCCUGGUAGUCCGCACGGUAAACGAUGGAUGCCCGCUGUUGGUCUGAAUAGGUCAGCGGCCAAGCGAAAGCAUUAAGCAUCCCACCUGGGGAGUACGCCGGCAACGGUGAAACUCAAAGGAAUUGACGGGGGCCCGCACAAGCGGAGGAACAUGUGGUUUAAUUCGAUGAUACGCGAGGAACCUUACCCGGGCUUGAAUUGCAGAGGAAGGAUUUGGAGACAAUGACGCCCUUCGGGGCCUCUGUGAAGGUGCUGCAUGGUUGUCGUCAGCUCGUGCCGUGAGGUGUCGGCUUAAGUGCCAUAACGAGCGCAACCCCUCUCCUUAGUUGCCAUCAGGUUAAGCUGGGCACUCUGGGGACACUGCCACCGUAAGGUGUGAGGAAGGUGGGGAUGACGUCAAAUCAGCACGGCCCCG